RNAcentral lists this long non-coding RNA (726 nucleotides) under Phascolarctos cinereus (koala). RNAcentral describes it as "lncRNA (ENSPCIG00000031168.1)". Lineage: Eukaryota; Metazoa; Chordata; Mammalia; Diprotodontia; Phascolarctidae. The record is from RNAcentral.
CCAGAAGAUGCCCAAGCGCAAUAGCAGGCACCAAACCCUGGUUGAAGAAAUCUCAGUCACUCACCGAUGAUGUGACAGAAUCUCAGUCCGCGCUCCACCUGCCUUGGUGCCUCUCAGUCCCGGGCUCCCAUCCUCUUGACAGCCACCAACCGGCUCGAGUUCACAUCUAACAGGCAGGCAGGCAGGCAGGCAGUCGGUCCCUCGCGGUUCUGCUCAGCCUGGGAGGGAGGAGAGAACUGCGGAGUUUGGAGUCAUCCAGAGGGAAUCCUCUCCCUUCCACUGUCGCUCACUGAACAAGGGACGCAGAAGUUACAAUUUACCUUGGCAGAGGAUAUACUCUUGUACAUUUUACCUAAAAAACGCAGUAGGAGAAAGAAGAGGUUCAUGGAGCACCAUGAAGCAUGGGCACAACCAGAAUCAUCACAUACCAGUAAGAAGAGGAGGUGGUCAUCAUAUGGUUGUAGGAAUACUAAACUAAAAGGAACUUGGUUUAGAUAAUGAGCUGAGUUCCUAAUACUAAAUGAUUAUGUAAUGAAUAUCCUUUUCCAUCCUCUCUGCCUACCCAACCCCUCCCCUCUAUCAAAGCAUAGGCUUUGUAUGUGCAAGACUGUGUGAGUGAUUUUCAAGUGAAGAUAAACAGCAGAUGAGAUAAGGGAUCCUGGCUGAUGACUUUUGAAGAGCAGGGAUAAAAAUAAAAUAAAAUGUGGUUUACUGAAUAUAACUGUU